RNAcentral lists this long non-coding RNA (28733 nucleotides) under Coffea arabica (coffee). RNAcentral describes it as "long non-coding RNA (CARA_LNC001170)". The record is from RNAcentral. Lineage: Eukaryota; Viridiplantae; Streptophyta; Magnoliopsida; Gentianales; Rubiaceae.
GGAACUACGAUUUUGAUUUCGAAUAAUAAUAUUUAUAUAUAAUAUAAUAUUUUUUAACAAUACAUAUAUAAUAUAUAUUAUAUAACAUAAUGAAUACUGACACAUCUAACAAUUAACAAAAAUAAAAAAGCAAAAGUGCAAAUUGAAAUUGCAAAACCUAAUCUAUUAACUCUUCCGCCUCUUCUUCAUCGUCUCGCAACUAAGGCUCACUGUCUCACCUUCCUUUCUCGGCCUCCACCGCCUGCUAGUCUUCAAUUGAGAGUCAACAGCCCAGCUUUCCUACUUUGUCAGCUUACUCUCUCUCUCACUCUCGGUUUCACCUUCAUCUUCACGCCAUCUUCACUCUUCAUCUUCAGCCCUUCAUCUUCAAGGACAAAGCAAGCUAUUUCAGGAAUGUUUAAGUGGUUGAUAGCUCCAACAAUCUCAAGGCUCCCAAAGGUCUUGGCACCUUUACUAAGCAAUCCAACUGCUAUGAUGUCCAGACUAGUAGCAAUGGGGAUUGGGGCCAUUACUUUUACUUUGGAGACCCUGGUAGAAAUCCCAAUUGCUCUUGAACAACUACCCCCACCCCCACAAAGAAAAAAAAAAGAAAAAAAAGUAACUACUUCCUCUGUAUUAUCUGACGUAGUCUCCUACCUUACCCCUCUUUAGAUCUGUCUCUCUCUCCUCAUUAUACACAACCACCAUCCUUUUUUACCAUUUUCGUUUAGGUCGUGUUAGUAAAAAUGCCACCUUUUCAGUAGUUGGAAGUUUUGCCCCUUUGGAUAAGUAAAAUGGGGAGAAACGGCCUUGGUUUCUCAUAAGCUCAAAAGAAACAGGGUCUUUGUUAAUUUCUUUAUAGCAAUUUCUUUCUUUGAUGCUCCGCGCUUGGGAGUGCUAUUGUGACUAGAAAUGUUUUGAGUGUAGCUUAAUUGUUAUGUUAUCAGCUUCAUUCUUUACCUUUUCCUCUUGAAUUUGAGUAAGAGAAACAGUCGACUUGUGGAAUCCAAGGGGACAACACUUGUGGAAGUCAUUAAAUUCGAACAGGUUUUUCUAUUUUUUUAACAAGAAAAAAAAGGAACAGGUUUGAAUUCGGCGCAUUCGGAAUUCACCGAAUUCCGAAUUCAAUUCGGCAUCAAAUUCGAAAUUGGAAUUGGCCAUUUCGAAAUCGAAUUCAGCCGGAAAAAUUCAUUAAAAAAUUUCAAAAAAUUCUAAUUUCAAACUUUCGAUUUACCAAUUUCAAUUUCAAUGCACAACCUUAUCUCUAAUGACCAUUGUAGCCCUCAAAUUAUACGUCCGUUGAUUCAAAUUUAGGCUUCAUUUGAAUUGAGAGAAAAAGACAGAAAACAAAAGUAUCCUGAGGGAAAGUCUAUCAUUUCAUUCCUUUAGGAGUUUUCACAAGGACGGAAGAGAAACGAAAUGAACGAAUGUGAAUUCCUUUAAUUGAUGAAAAUUUUUCCACCCAAUUUUGGGAGGAAAAUGAUGGAAACUUGUUGGGCGCCAAAGGAUAUUUUUAAUAUGACAAUUUUAUCCUUUAAAAGCUGAUACAAAAUGUCAUUAUUCCCGAUAUAUCCUAGAGUUGAUUUCUAAAAGCAUCAAUGCAAAGCUUUCUGAGUUCUAUACUUUCUAUACUUCCAACUAGUUCUUUGAUUUUUUUUGUUCUUCAUCCACAGUUCAAUAAUAAAAGAUAUUUCUUUAACUCAAUCUCUUCUUUCUUUCUUUGCUCAAUCUUCUCUAGAAAAUCGUGAAAAAGCAUUUUUUCUAUGUAUAGAUUGUUAUUGUUUAUAUUUUAAAUUUGUUGUUCAUUUUCUAUCAUAAAAUUCUUGUCAAUGAACUCUUGAUUUUUAUAGUAUUGAUUUGUGAUUAUAUCUUGCAUGGUUAUGGUACGUGUAAGCUCCAGCGGUAAUGCAUGAAUAUAAAAUUUGAAUGCAUACAAUAUAUUUGUUUAUUUGCCUACGUAAGCUUCAAAUUAUAAAAUGAUUCAGCAAGAACUUUCAUUUCUCAUGGAUUCCAGUUUUCAUGUUAUAAAUCAACAAUCCAAACAACUUCACAAAAACUGAUGCCUCUAGGAGUUUUAUCAUCCAUGGGAUCAGCCCCUGACUCUGAUCAUCUGAUCAGAGACGAUUAGCUUUUUAUAAAUAGAACUAAUAAUUAUGAAACGGAUAAAAAAUGUGCCCUACACCAUUUGAGAACUCAACUUAUUAUUAUUCAUCUUGUGAGAAUACAUAUGCAAUUGUUUUAGAAUUUUAUCCUGUCCAAAUAUUCUAUUUAUUGGAACAAGAAAGCUAAUAUUUGGAUUUUAAUUUAAAAAUUAAAAGGCAAAUACGUAAAGUUAUAAUCUCAUAAAAUCUUUUCUUUCCAUAUCUCUCAACUCUCAACUAAGGGAAAGAUGUUUCUUUUCUUUUCUUUCAUUGAACUCCCAAACCAAAUAUACAUCUUUUCCCUUCUUUUCCUUUCAUUCCUAAGUUAUAUUUUCUUUUCUCUUCUUUUCUUUUCUCGUCCUUCAUAAGCUCCCUAUCGUUUUUGCUCUCUAGUCUCUCUUCAAUGGCGGCCAGUAAUCACAUUUAGGGCAUGUGCGGUGUCGCAUUGAAGCCUCAGCUCCUGCGGUCACUUUUUAGGGAAUACAUCCCAGACGAAAAACACUCCUUCAGAAACCCUUCGGACCUCUCUCACGUCGUCUCUGCCGUUAAAACUCAUUGUCUUCUCUGGGAAUAGGCCCCAUCUUCCACUGACCAAAAGCUCAGUGACGGCUGGAAGUCGGCCGUCGAUGCCUGGGUCAAUCGGGUCUCUGCCCUUGCUUCCAGCAGCAUGGUAAAAUAUUAUAGAGCACAUUCUACAUUUACGUUUCUCCUCAAUCAUUAGUCACACUUGAUCAUAUGCUUUUAAACUAAUCAUCUUUUGAAUGUAAAACAAGAUGGUAUCAUGGCGCACGCAUUUUAGUUAGAGAUAUGUAAACUCAGAAAGUAUGAGUCAAAAUGGUGUGGCACUGAGUCAGGGACUCUCAAAUUAGCAAAAAUCCAAACCCAUCUCAACUUCACAAAUGAUCAGUUUAGAACCCUUAUAAUUUGUGAGAAGUUUAACUCCGUGUUGAUUGUAGUAAUAGAGAAAAUUGAGCUGUAAGCCGAUGAGUUAAGAUUAAGUUCAUAACUGAAAGCUGUGAACACCUUGAUUUGUGGUUCCAACAAGUUAUGCAGCUGUGAACACCUUGAUUAGGUUGGCUUGUUAUAGCCAAUCCAAAAAGAGUUAAUUUGUCUUGGUCUGCAGAAACUUGCUCAUGGCUUGGCCUUACUUCCAAAAUCCCGAGGAGAUGAGGAUAGCUGGUCACUGAUGAUGCAGAAGGUCUUGAUAUUCAUAAAUAAUCAACUAAAUGUUAUGUUCCAAGGUCUAGAAGAAGGUAACAGUUGCUUUAAUUUGGAGAUGGAACUGCUAUUUUGAUUGAAUAUUUAGGUGCUGAUGUUUUAUUCACCUGUUGCAGAGGCCAGAAGUAGUGAGGUAGUGAGGUUGUUACUUCCUCCAGGGAAGGACCCCCCACCUCCCUUAGGAGGGCUAACGGCAUCAGCAAAAAACUCAGAUCAGGCAAUGAAGAGGCCUGAACAAGUAUUAGUUUCAAGAGUCUCUACCCUGAUGACCUGCUGUUGCACAAUGCUUACUGAUGCUUAUCCCGUUCAGGUGAUAUGCCUCGUUUAGUUUAUGAUAUCAAAUAUGUGUAAAUGACCGAAUUGAUUUCUUGUAUUUUUUAAGGGAGAUACAUGAACUCGUUACCUUGAGCAUAAGUUUGUCUGGUGCUCUAUGCAGGUUUCUGUGCCUGUUUGUUCACUGGUAGCUCUUGUUAAGAGAGUGCUGAUGGUCGAUGGCUCAUUCUCACAAUCCUCCCCUUUUAUGACUGCCAUGAGACAGGACUUGAUUUGUUUAGAACUUCCUGAAUUGCAUAGGUGCAGCCUGGAGCUUCUGAGUUCUAUUGUAAAGGGACUUCGCAGGUGACUGAUUUAUCUUCUUCUUGUUCUCUUUUAAAUGUAAUCACUCUAUUUAUAUCUUAUUAUAAAGCUUGUCCUUGAGUUCUUUGUCCGUUGGAUAUAAAGCUAUGCUCUUUAGUUUGAUUUCCUCUUCCUUCUUUAGUUUACAUUUCAAAAAUGUUAGUUGUAACAUGAUUUUGUAUGCGCUUUUGCAGUCAGUUGUUCCACAUGUGGCAGAUAUCACACGACUGCUAACAGAAUAUUUUAGGACAUGCGCCCUGCCAGAGUUAAGGAUUAAGGUUUACUCAAUUAUGAAAGUUUUGCUGAUGUCCAUGGGGAUUGGUAAGUAAUUGUUUAACAUAUCUUUUCACCUCUUUGCUUAUGUUGAUAUUGGGUGCCUGGAAAUUGAUGUUAGUUCCUGCGCUUAGUUCAUCUGUCAUGCGUUUGAUCCCUUAUGGAUGCAUGUGCAAGAAUAUAUGCUUGUAAGCAUGAGAUACUCUUCUCCUCCUCCUCUUGCUCAUUUCUGUCAUAUUGGGGGUUCAAAAAUAGAAGCACAUGGAGCAUAAGUUGCUCAUUAUUUUGAAACCUCUAAAAAGGCUGUAGCAUUGGAACUCGUGAAUCUUGUUAAAAUUUGCUUUAUAAAACUGUCAUUUGAAUAUCCCGACAUUCUACAAGUCUACAUGUUCUAUGGAAGAUCAUUGCAAUUAAGGUGAUUUUCCAUAAGUAUGCUGCUUGUCAAGAGCCCUGAAAAAGAAAUACUAAAACAAAAUGAACCUCAAUACUUUGCAUGAGUCCAGAGCUACUGUCAGUUUGGCCUUGAUGAGUUUAUUAGGCAAAACUUGUGAUUUAUGAUAUUAACACCGGGAUUGAUCUUGUACGUACUGGACAUAAAGGACUAUCAAAGGUUUAUAAGUGCAUUUGGUUGGCUGAGGUUAAUAUUCUUCAAAAGGCAUGAUACUUUUCAGGUUUGAGUUCUCUAAUUUUUUUCACUGGUCAAUAUCAGAUACAUGAGAUUUUUCGACAUCUCAGGUUUUUAUGGGAUACCAUUUGCAUGUUGUCUAUUGUUUUGCAACUUCUUUUGUGAGAACUAGAUAAUUGUCCAUACUCGUGUUUUUAUUUGAAGACAUUUUGAACAUGAUGGUAAUUUUCUACUUGAUCUACUACCGUAUCUAAGUUCGAACAUGCUGCUUUACUCAUAUGUAGAUGGUUAUAACGAGGUAUCAGGUUGAUGCUCAGAAUUUUAAUCAAACUACUUUGACUUGAGGACAUUUGGUGUCAUAACCAGGCACUAAUCUUUUGUUAUCUAACCUCGUUUGUUUCUUUUUGUGAUUUAGAAGAUGUUUUCAUAUAUAUCUUUUGCCAAAUUUGUUAACAAAAAAAUCGUGCACCCAUUGUGCAUCCUAUACCAAUUUUGUGUGACAAUUUUUUUUCCUUACUUGCCUUUCUCUUAAUCCAUAUUUGAUAUAGGUUUGACUUUGUAGCUUGCUACAACCGAUUUUUUUUUAGCAUCUAACUUUUUUUUUUGGAGGGAUUUUAGCAUCUAACUCAGUGGCAAUAGUUUUGGUGCUUACCAAAUUUGAAGUGGUGUUUUUUAGAGUAGUGCUGUUGAUACUUAAAAAAAAAAAAAAUCUUCUUGUAAUUCGUUCAAUUCAAUAACCCUUUACUACCUCUUUCCUUCUUUCGCAAACAAAUACAGAUGCACACAGAGAUCUGUCACGUGGAAUUGUUUCUCCUAAUGGUGGUGGUUCUUGACAGGGAUUGCAAUAUAUCUGAUCCAGGAAGUUAUAAGCAAUGCAUUCCUUGAUCUGGAUCCUCAUGGUCGUGAGAGUGGUGGCUCGUACUCUGCUGCACGCUCAAAGGCCUUACAGGAUGCACUGCAACAAUGUUUUCAGAGAAAAAGGAAGCACCCAACUUCAGCUGAAUCUGUUGGAGACCAAUCUGCUAAAGGUGGUCUGGAAGUGGAGACAUCCCAAAAUAUGACUGCAAUAUCUGUCAGGAUUGCUGCAUUAGAGGCAUUAGAAGCUCUUUUGAGUGUGGUAUGUUCCUUCUUUAUCUAAUUAAAUGCAUUGAGUUACCAUCAUUUAUAUGCUUAUGAGAAUACUACUUUAGCUAUUGACUUAGCAAAAGGUGUGCUCACAAAGUACCUCAAGUUGGUCUUUCAUUCUGCUUCUUUCUACUGUCUCCGUGGUUAUUUUGGAAUAAGAAUUCACUUUGGAAGCCUUAGAGAGGUGCUUCAUUUUUGGUCUUGUACCGUGGUAGAUCCUGUUAAUUGUGCUUUUUAUGCAGCCAGUAUUAAGCUCCUUGAGCUGAAACUUCAUGUAGACGGUGUAAUGGUCUAUCUAGCUGUACUUAUCUGGAGUUAUAUGCAGUAUGCUUAGUUAGUCUUGCCGACACAUCUAAUCUGCUUUAGUGUUAAAUAUCAUCCAUUAUGGCUGUGAUGUUCUAGUUGGUGCUAAGUUGACCCAGACUUCAGGCAUUUUCAAGCCUUAUUUAGGAGGCCUAUGCACUGAAUUUGCCCCUUGCACGUUUAAUUAUGUUUCCAUAUUGUCACUUAAUGGAAUAAUUAGCCUGAUUUUCUGAGAUGGUAGGCAUCUACUUUAUUGGAUGUACUUGUCAGUAUUUCAGUAUUCAAAUGAAUGCAGCUCCUAUUUUUCUCUAAUUGUGAUUCCAAUAAACUGUAUAUGCUUUCAGAUAUUUUUUGUCAAUAGGCUGGGGCCAUGAGAUCAGAUGGUUGGCGAUCAAAUAUUGAUCGUCUCCUUAUAACAGUUGCAACAAAUGCUUGCAAAGUGGGAUGGGCUGACAACAAUAGUACUGUAGUUUAUGGUGAAGCUACUCCUUUAUGGGCAGACUUCCAACUUGCUGCUUUACGCACACUUUUGGCAUCCCUUCUUUCUCCUGGUCGUGUUCGCCCUUCACAUCUUGCUCAGGGUCUCGAACUUUUUCGUAGAGGUAAGUGCUGUCCAGCCUCCAGUGUCAUCUUCUUCCCAUGCAAUCCAUGGGCUGUCUCCACGUUGUACAUUUGAAUUGGAGGCACGAACAAUUUUAUAUAAUUAAGAUAGAUGAGGGGAUACCAAGUCAAGUUGGUAAACAUGAAAUAGAGGUUGCUUGAUUUUGUCCUUUAUGUAACUAACAUGAGCGGUAUAAUUGGAGUACUUGUUAAAAUGCUUGUCAAAUGAGUGAUGUAUGCCUGCAAUUUGUCGUGGUAAUUUCGUUUGACAGUAAGAGGUCUUCAAUAUGUAAGAUAUGGAAGGAAUAACCGUACUUAUAAGAGGUUCUUCUGCGGGGCUACUUGAACCUUUUUUUUUUUUUUUUUAAGUUAAUGGAAUUGAAAAAGUCUACUUUUCUCGGCUUCUUGCUCAUAGAUUUAUGCGUUCUGGUGACUGCAGGCAGUCGAGAAUCUGGAACAAAAAUUUCUGAGUAUUGCUGUCAUGCUCUUUUGACCUUGGAAGUGCUCAUACAUCUUAGGGCCCUUCCAUUUAUAGAUCUUCAAUCGGCAGUUGACCAUUAUGGUAGUGCUAGCCUCAACUUUCCAGACGUACACUUCGCAGAUCACAGAAAGAGCACUUCAUUUCAUUUUAGCACACUAGGAAAGGAGCCUUCUCAGCCAGAGUCUGGGGAUGAUGAUCUUUACGAAAGGUGGCUGGCAAAUGGUGAUGAAACAGAUGUCAAUGACCUUGGAAAAUAUACCAGCAGUGAUAAAGAACCCCCUGGGACCUCUACCCAUCCAGCAUUAGAAAAGCUUCCUCGUUGUGGUUCUCCUUCUGAAAGAAAUAAGCGUGAAGGUGGUGAAUUUGGGGAAUCAAUGGCUGUUGCAGCUGACAAAGUACCAGUAGAUGGGGAUGAGAUAAUGGUUGACUUGCCGACUCCGGAAAGCUACAAGCAGACAGAGGAACGCGAUCAUAUUGAAGGGCGAAUAUUGGUUGCUACAGCUGGUGGUCAUACUGCCACCGAAUCAGAUGGACUGGUUUCAGGCAGUGCUACAUCAGCUGAUGGUCAUACAGAUUUUGUUGUAGCAGCAGGAAAAGAUGUCUCUUCUUCAGCAAGUAAAAGAAACACUAUGGUUACUGAGCAGAGUGUCACGCCAACAUCUGCGAAGGAUGUGGUGACAAGCCAAGAUCAUGAAUACACUAGGAUUGUGGAAAAGAUUUCUGCUACAAUAUCAAACACAGGAAGGGGCGCUGGAUUGGUGGUAGAAAUCAAUGACGACACUUCAAUGGAUUCACUUCCUGAUAUUGUGGAUGGUGAUCCCGACUCUGAUUGAGUGAAAAUGUAUGUGUAUGAUUGGGCAGUAUUCGAUUAGAUUUACUAAUGAAUGUGUUGAAAUUCAUUGUCUAUUGAAUUUGAAGUUCUUCGUAAGCAUGUUAGAAAAAUUAGGGGCUUUUUGAUCCUCGUAAAAGGUUUUACGCAAUUUUGAGAUGAAUGAAUGCAGUAGAUGAUAGAAGGCUUCUUUUAUCACUUAGCAAUGUUGUAAAAGCAGUUCGAAACAUAUAAUCCCAAACCAAUCUCAUUCUUCAAAACUAUUCCCAAACUAAUGCACUUACAAAAUAUAUUUCCUUGUUAACUUACUUGUUAUCACGUGGACUUCGAGUAUGGAAAGUAUUUACAUUUUCAUCUUAUAUUAAGAGGUACAAUCCACAUCAAUAAAUUUUUAAUAACUUUUCAAUAGUUCAAAUGUUGCUACUUAUGUACAAUCUUAAAGAUAAAUAAAAAUAUUUUUCUACCUAUUAUUGAGUUAAUUAGUAUUUCUCACAUUAGAUUGGCUCAUAUAGCAUGUUAAUUUUGAUAUUUACACUGACCUAGUUAUAUUUUUUCUCCUAUUCUUUUGGAAUGUUUACUUGUACUUCAAACAAUUUGAGUUUUUGCAAACUUCUUAAAAUUUACAAAGUUAGGAGACUACCAUAUAUAAAAUUGCAAGUAACAAGUAAAAAAGAAAGGAACUUGUGACAUAAUAAUCAAGAAUAAAGCGAGGGAGGAAUAAUGGCAGCAAAAAAAAAAGGUUCUUCAGCAAAAUCAUUGCAAUUUGGAGGGUGAUCAGCAAUUUUAAAACACUAAUUAUGGAUCCACUUUCCUUUUUUUUAAUUUGCUUACAGAAUGUCCUUAAGGCACUAAAUAAAGAAAAACUAUGUAAUAUAUAAACAAAAGAUUUACAAGUUAUUUUUUUCCUUUGACGGGGAGUCGACAUGGCAAUAACUAGAUUAAUAAGAGAAUAAAAACUGAAAGAGCAUUACUUUGGGAUUAUUUUUCAGAAAGUAGAUUAGUUUAGCCAAAAACUCAUCCAAGGGUCAUAGUUUGGAGCAAAUACAUACCAUAACAUGAUUCUUAGUUCUCUUCAUCACAUAUAUUGCUACAGAAUUCCACUCGCCAAGGGAACAACCAACAAGCGGCCACGAAAACACGGCGAUGAGAUGCAUUCUGACGCGCUCCAAUAGAAGUGACCAGGUGUGCAAUUUGCUAAUGUGUUUUUGUUUUUAUUCCAUUAGCGAAGUGGUGGUGUCAACGAUCAGCUUGUGUUGACACUUGACACUGAAGCUUAAACUUCUGAUAAUUCUAAAGUGAAAAUUUGUCAUGCAUUUUAUGUCUGAAUCUCCACUUCUUUCCUGAUACUGGGCAUCCUAGAAACGCCAUUCUAGUCCUGCAUUCUCGUUUGGGCUACAACCCACAUUGUCUAACUUUAUUAUUGUUUUAACAGUAAUGCCCUUAUCUAAUACUGUGAAUUUCUAUUUCAGUGUAGUCUGCUCGAAAUGCUACUUAUUAGUUAAUACUCCUAGGUAUUUUCUUUCCUACGUUAGCUAGCUCUCAUUUUCUUCUUUAUCGAGCUGAAAUAUUGGGAUCUCUUAGGUUUUACCAAAGCCAAGCAAGAGAAUCUAGAGGAUUGGUCAAAAAAGAAAUACUACUACUGAGACAAAAAACCAAAACAAAAAAUUAGUAGUGGAGUACGUAGGUGGAGAGUUGAGUGAAAGUCAAUCAAGUCUUUUCAUGCUUGCUGGAAAAAUUUAUGCUUCAUUUGACUCGAAAGAUGGAAAGCAACUAACUUUCGUUCUCUGACCGGAUGCAAAUAUGAAAUCUCAUCUCUGUUAGAAUCCAUAUUUUGGGCUGGUAUGCAAAAUUUUCUUAUAACAAGACUCGAUUUCUUUAACAGCUAGAUCAUCGUAUACUUGUCACUACGACUUUAGCAGCAAUUGGUGGCUUAUGGUUCUCAACUAGGAAACUGGAACUUCAUCCUGCCAUAUGCUCCUUGAUCGGAAGUAUAGUUGGCGUGGUUGCUCUCCAGGUGUGUCCUACUAAGUUCUAGCAAUCCUCGUUGGCGAGCUUAUCACAAUUGUCUGGCCAGUUCCUUGGCAUGAUUGCCUUUGUCAAACAUGCAUGAAUGAUUUUGCAUUUAUGUGUUAAAUAAAAUUUGCUCCAUCGGCAGGUCACUUUGAGAGUAUCAACUCUUCUGUCAUACGUACCUGUGUCACCUGGCAGUUGGCACAGCUCAUCAAGCUGGAGCUCUAAUGCUUCUGAGUCUGAUGCUUCUGCUCAAUCACACCGUACGUCGGCCGAUGUCACUUCUAAAAGACUCUGUCUCCUGUUGUAAAAACAGUCACCUAGAUGAUCAUCAGGACAAUGUGUAGUAGACGGCGGAUUAUUUUCAGCUUCCGAUAUUUAGAUUACUUAAAAAGAAACUGCAAAUGAGAGUUCUGAAUGUAGCUGUUGUAUGGUCUUUGGCCAAUAGAAGGUACGCGACAAUAAUGCCUGCAUUCGUUCAACUCCAGAAUGACCAGUCCAAGAAUCAUCGUGAGACUCUUGUAGUAACUGUCGCCUAAGUCCCCCUUCUGCUGGAACAUAUGCUUGACCACUAUUGGCAAAGAGUAAGUCAUCCUCCAGCCAAUAACGACGAACUUUGACUUCACAAACACCAAGUUUUGAUAAACUGGGUCACUUGGGGACUACCAUUUGAUCUUGUCCCUGAAGUCCGUCUCAACAGUAUUAAGCACAAUAAUGUAUUCUUCGACAUACUUUCUACUAAGUACGUCGACCACUGCAUUCUCCCUUCCUAACUUAUGAAUCCAGUCAAAGUCAAAUUCAACCAGAAACUCUUGCCAACGAGCUUGCUUCGGGGUCAACUCUCUUUAUGUCUUAAAGUAAGUAUUGUCCAUGUUAUUAGUUACAACCACAAACUUGGUUCCUAAUAGAUAGUGCUUCCAUAUUUUGAGGCAAUGCACAACAACUGUCAUUUCUUUCUCAUGCGUACUAUGUCUUUGCUCGCAUUUUUUCAGCUUUUUACUUUCAAAUGCAAUCGGGUGCUUCUCCUGCAUAAGUACUCCUCCAAUCGCAUGAUCUGAAGCAUCAGUAUACACUUCAAAAGCUUUCGAAAGUUGCAACACUAGCACAGAAGCAAUCGCUUUCUUCAGCAUUCUGAAUGCAUCUUCGUACUCAUAAUCUCACAGCCACGGUCUAUCCUUCUUUAGUAGGUCAUCUUUGAGUAUCCCUGGAUAAAGUGCCUGUAGUAGUUAGCCAAACCAAGGAAUGACUUUAGUUCUGCGACUUUCUAGGGUGCAAGCCAGUCAAGGAUCGCCUCAACCUUCCUGCAAUCCAUCUGGAUCCAACCAUUGUUCAAUACAUGGCCAAGAAAAGUGAUUUGCUCCCUACAAAGCUCACACUUUUCUUGCUUUAUAUAGAGUUCGUAUUCCUUCACCUUGCGGAAUACUACCCUCUGAUCUAUAUGGUCCUUCAAGGAUUUCGAAUACACAAUAAUAUCAUCUAAGUACACUAUGACAAACUUAUCAAGAAAAUCGUACAAGACAUCAUUCAUUAGUCCACAAAAGGUAGCAGGUGCAUUCGUCAAACUGAAUGGCAUAAUGAGAAAUUCAAAGGAAUUAUACCACGUCACUACCGUUGUCUUUUCCUCAUCUCUUGGGGCUAUUCAGACUUGCCAGUACCCAGACCGCAAAUCAAUUUUGGUGUAAAAUCGUGCCAUCACUAGCUCGUCGAACAAGUUGUACACAUUUGGAAUGGGUACUUGUUUUUUAUCGUGAUCUUAUUCAAGGCAUAAUAGUCUACACAGAACCUCAACGUUCCGUCAGCCUUCUUCUGGAAUAACACUGGAGUACUGUACGGAUACUUUGACGAUCUCAGCUCUUGGCUAUCUAACAAUUCAUUAAGUUGGUAUCGCAACUCAGCCAACUCUAUCGGGGACAUGCGAUAAGGAAUUUGGGCAGGUGGUUGGGCUCUUGGAACCUACUCGAUCUUGUGUUCCACAGCACAGGAUGGAGGAAACUAUUUUGAAAACUUUGCAAGCAUGAUAUCUGUAAACUUCUCUAGAACAUGGGCCAUGGCGUUGGGUACUUUCUGGUACAUGUUAGGUUUGGUUUCCACCAAUGCAGCAAUAUACACAACUUCACCGCGCCUCAGAAGAUAUGACUUAAUCUCUAUCGUUGAUACCAUGUUCUUUUAUUGAUUGUUCUUUUGUUUCUGCAACUUUACUACAAAAGGUAUUUUGGAAAAGUGGAUAGCUUUUGGCGCUAGUCAGAAUGUAGUCAAAAGGUAUUUUUCAUGUCAAAAAACGGGAUACCUAUUAAAAAAGUUUUUUUUCAUGUAGAGACAUAUAUGCUACAUAAAAUAGGACCUGUCUAACGGAUGUCCUCUUCGUUAAUAUAUAUUUUUAGAUGUUAUAUUUUUAAAAAUAUAAAAUUAAUUAGAGAAAGUAAAUAAAAUAAGAAAGAAUUCUAGGUAAGAUUAAAUAGGAAAAAUAUAUAAAUAUAAAAAUUAUUAGUAUGUGUAUAUAUGUAGACACCAAAAAAAUUUCAUAAAUCAUUUUAUGAUUUGUUAAUAACUAUUAUUAUUUAUUUUUAUUUAUUUAUCUCUAUUUAUAUUUUUACCUUUUUUUUAAAAAAAAUCAUUCCAUCUCAUUUGAUUUCUAUUUGAUUGUUUUUGCAGAAAAAUUAGAAAGAAAAGAAAAGGAAAUACAGAAAAGGAAAAAGAAAAAAAAUCAAAAUCAGAUGUAAAAAAAAAAAAAAUUUCCGCGCUUGGUGCAUCUUCAAGCUUCGUACAAGAAGCAAAGUAGUAGUACAAAAAACCAGCUCGGAUUGGAGCAAUUCCCAUUCGUAUUUCCCUUUUCUUUUCUCUUCCUUUUCCUUUCUUUUUCCUUUUCUUUUUCUUUCUUUCUUUCUCUCUUCUUUUUCUUUCUUCUUUCUUUCUUUCUUCCAUCCUUCUCCAUCCGAACUCCACCGCCGCCAACCAUCAACAUACGUCGAGCUCCACAGUCAUUCGCCCCUCACCUGUAGCUGUCGACGGCCCCCUCAGUUAUCAAGGAAGUUUCGUUAUCCCCAUUACUUUUCUUUUAUUCUUUAUUUUACAUUUGGGACAAUGUAAGAUUUAGGUGUGUGGGGGAAUAGCAUAUGAUAGUAUAUUGGAAAAGUGCAAAUAUUGGCCAUAGUUGCUGCUGUAUAGAAGUGGAGACCUUAUCUACCUGGAAGGUACGUUAUCAUUAAAAAUGACCAUUAGAGCAUUGAAUAUAUGAUGGAACAAAAAUUGAACACUCUUAUGUAGGCUUGUCAACGGGCCGAGUCCGGGUCGGAAUUCAUUAUUCCAGACCCGGACCCGGCACACUAUAUCGGAUCCGAACCCGACUCGUUUACCCGAUGGGUCUUUACUCUAUGUUCCGGAUCCAGAUCCGACGGGUCCCGGAUCCGGAUCCGGGUCUACCCGAAAAAAAACUAACAAAAUUUAUAAUUCCUAACAAAAAUAAGAAAAAACAUAUAUUUAUAAACUAAUUUCUAACUAAUACAAAAAAAAUCAAAUAAGAAAAGAAAUCAAAUUAACCUUACUCAAAUACAUCAUCCUAAUCAAAUUAUAUUGAUUAGGAUCCGGGUCCAAUUAUAUUGAUUACUCAAAUACAUCAUCCUAAUCAAAUUAUAUUAAUAAAUAUAUAUUUUUUAAAUUAGUAAUUCAUUUAUAUCCGGAUCCGGGUCCAAUACGGGUCGGAAUACUAUAUUUCAUAUCCGACCCGUUUUUUUGUUUGGCAAAAUGGAUCCGGGUCCGGGUAACGGAAUUAAAUCCCUACCCAUACCCAGAUAAAUUUAACGGAUCCGGUCCGGGUCCGGGUCUAGACCCGGACCAUUGACAGCCCUACUCUUAUGCAGCAGAAAUGGAUGGCUAAGCUAGUAAGAUUUUAUUAUGAGCUUCACUACAGGAAAGAAGCAUAUAAUAUGGUGAGAGAUACUCUCUUUAGAAAACUAGCAGAACCAAGAGAAGCUCUUGCCAUCAUCAUUGUUAACAGUGAUCUUUGAUAGUGAUUAAAAAGGGAUGGCAAAUAGAUAUAAGGCUAUAGAACUUCAUCACUCAAUUACAAUUUGAUCUUUCUAAGGUCUCACCUUAUUACACAUGGAGCAACUAGCAGUUAAGGAGGAUGGGGAGACUAGUGGUAGAAAAUGACUGCCAAUUCAAGAAUAAUAUAAUUCACUUGUGGCAUUCUAGUGCUGUUGGAGGCAUUCAGGAGUUUAUGCUGCCUAAAAGAAGUUGAAGUCAGUGGUUUAUUAGAGAAGAAUGUAUCAAGACAUAGUCAACUAUGUGGCUGCAUGUGAUGUCUGUCAGUGCAACAAAUAUGACAAUACUGCUGAUUUGGGUUUAUUACGACUUUUACGUGUGCCUCAAAAGGUUUGGAGUGAAUUUCCAUGGACUUUAUGGAAGGUUUACCUAAUGCACAUGGUAAACAAGCCAUCUUGGUGGUGGUUGACAAGUUAGGUAAGUAUGCACACUUCUUGGCAUUGUCACAUGCUUAUUCAGCAUUUAUAUUUGCACAUAUUCCUGGAUCAGAUCUGUAGACUUCACGGCUUGUCUCAUAGCAUUGUUAGUGACAAGGAUGUGGUCUUCAUUAGCACUUUUUGGCAAGAACUUUUUAAGUUACUAAAAGUGCAGAUUAAUACCUCUUCUACCUACCACCCUCAGUCAGAUGGUCAAACUGAGGUGGUAAACAGGUGUUUGGAGUAAUAUUUGAGGUGCCUGUGUGGAGAUUUUCCAAAGCAGUGGUCUAUCUAGUUACCCUUGGCUGAAUAUUGGUACAAUACCAAAUUUCAUGCUGCCACUAAGGUUAUCCAAUUUGAGGUGGUGUAUGGUCAUGCACCAUCUCUGCAUAUGCCUUGUCUACUUGGGAAUUCAGUAGUGGAAGUGGUGGAUAGAAUCUUGGCAGCAAGGGAGAUAGUUUUGCAUCACUUAAAGUACAACCUUCAUAAGGCACAAAAUAGGAUGGAGCAACAAGCUGACCAACACAGGUCUGAUAGACAGUACUCAGCAAGAGAUUGGGUAUAUGUGAAACUACAACUGUAGAGGCAACACUCUUUGAAGGUACACUCUUGUCAGAAGUUAGCUUCUAAGUUUUUUGGACCUUUCCAAGUGAUCAAAAGAGUACACCCUGUUGCAUAUCAGCUUUAGCUGCCUAAUAUGGCAAAAAUACACUCUAUUUUUUAUGUAUCUCUUCUAAAGAAGAAAGUGGGCACUCACUAGUUACCUCACACAUUCCUUUUGCAAUCAAUACACAAUCAAUACAUAGGGAUAAUUAUUAAUGGAGCCUAUAGCCAUACUUGAUCAGAAAUUGGUGAAAUGUGGUAACUCUCUUGCUACAAAAGUUUUGGCAUAGUGAAGCAAUUCUUUUCUUGAAGAUGCUAUCUGGGAAUUCUGGUUUGACCUUAAACAACAAUUUCCUGAAUUUAAUCCUUGAGGACAAGGAUUCUCUGAGGGGGAAGUAUUUGUUACCUUAGUUUUAUUGAUAGGGUUUUUUUUUUUUUGUAAUAAAGCGAGUAUGAUAGGGACUUAAUGAAUAAAUCCUUAUAAUUCUUGUAUGUCAGUUGGUUGUAAUGAAUUAGCUGACUUGGACAAGUGUAGUAGCCGAAUAAAAGAGAGGAGGGUGGUAAGUUGAAGGCAGUUCUAGGAUUUCCGAUUUCCAUUACUUGUAAUUGAUUAUCAUCUUCAUCUACAUUCUUCCUACUCAUUCAUCAAUUAAUAACAAUCCCUAAUUCUCUGAGUUGUCUUCUUUCUUUCUUAAUUACAGCUCCUUGAAUUAGUAAAUUGUAGUGGGAUCUUCUACUUUCUGCAACAUUCACCUUCAAGUGCUUCUUGUUUCCUAAAUAACGAUAUAGCCUUUGAUACUAUUUUCUUUGUUUUCUGUCUUCGACAGAAUUGUUCUUGGAAACUAGUUUUAGGGUUUCCUUUGUUUCCUUUAAUUCCCAUUUUCAGGGAUUUUCUCUGUUCUUCCCUUAAUCAAUUGAAUUGCAAACUCUCUUACAGGACGCAAUUACAUCAAUCUUGGUUUAGCAGUCUGUUAGGAUCCAAACAUGGAAUAAACAACUAUUGAGAUAUCAAGUACGCUACAAUUUAAUGAGAAACAAGCUACAAACAUGAAAGAUAAAUGACACACUAUUUUUUAAUGUGGUUCGACUCCACCAUUGAAUCUACAUCUACAGAGAGAAACUCGUUCUUUAUUAUAAGAGAAAAAUUCUAUACAAGAACACAACUUGAACCCCAAUUCAACUUUUGUAUACCAUCUCUCAUCUCCUAAAAAUCCUCUCUCACCACCCAUGUAUAAGGCUAUAUGUCGUCUCUUGUGUGCUUUUGUGUGUCUCUUUGUAGUAUGCCAACCCACCUAUUUAUAAAGAAUAUUAUUUGGCCAAAAAAUUAAAUAAUAAUAGGAAACCAAUUCUAAUUUCUAGACUUGUAUAGAAUAGGAAAUAAUUUUUAAUCCUAAACAAAAUAGGAAAUUCUUUGGCUACUAUUUCAACUAAAACUAAUUAGGAAAUUAGUUACUUCUACACAAAACAAAAACCUAUCUGAAAAGAAAUUAAAUCAAUUUCCUAACAAAUCUCUAUCUUGGCGAAAAUUUCUUUUAACAAUUAUUUAUUUUCAACUACCAAAUAAUAUGGUACCGAACUACACACCCGAAUCAAUACAGUUCUGAUACCAAAUUGAUUUAAUUGCCAAAUGAAUAUGUGUAUUUACACCUAGUACAACCUCCAGUUGAUUCGUGAGAAGAUACCCCAAUUCACCUUUUUUCUUUACAGGAUUUCUUCUCACCACCACUUACAACCCAAAAUCUCCUUGUAUGAGCUCUAACCUUAACCAUUGAGGCAACCAAGUGAUAAAAUCAUCAUACUUCUUCCCUUCCUCAAGACUAUCUCGCCACGUGUGGUUUCCAAAAAUUCACCUGAAACAAAAGACUCGUAACUGUCAGAAUCUUCUAGCGCAUAGAAAUUAAAUCUCUUUAUUUUUUUGGGACACAUGCCGUACCACUCAAAAAACAUAAGUGAAAUCUAAAAAUCACCGAGAUGAAGUAUCAACCAUUGAAGUUGUGAGAAAGUUUCCACCGAUUCACGUCCAAAAUCGAUAUUGGAUUCCACCUUUUCCUUGACUCUUGAAUCAUCUGCCUAGAUUCACCAUCAAGUAUCUCCAUGCUUUUCGACUUUUCAUCAUUCACCGUCAAUGCUUUUUUGCUAAACUCUUGAAAUAAGGAUACCGCCCAUUAAAUUGUUCAAUUGGUAACAGUCACCAACCUACUUGAUCUCAAUAGCUAACUAGGAUCCAUCCUUGAACAACCAAACUCUUGAUCCAACUAUUCAGUUUGUUGGGAUCCAAGUGCUUGUGAGCAGCCCAAUCUCGCAAUCAAGUUCUGAUACCAUUUGUUAGGAACUAAAUGCAGAAUAAAUAACUAUUAAGAUAUCAAGUACACAAUAAUUUAAUGAGAAACAAGUCACAAGUAUAAAAGAUAAACAACACACAAUAUUUAACGUAGUUUGACUCCAUUGAACCUACGUCCAAGGAGAGAAACUUGUUAUUUAUUAUGAGAGAAAAACCUUAUACAAGAAUACAACUCGAACUCAAGUCCAACCAUUGUAUACCAUUUCUCAUCUCCUAAGAACUCUCUCUCACCACCCAUGUAUAAGGUUACAUGUCGUCCUUGUGUGCCCUUAUGUGUCUCUUUUAUAGUAUGCCAAUCCACCUAUUUAUAAAAAUAUUAUUUGGUCAAAAAAUCCAAAUAACAACAGGAAAUUAAUUCUAAUUCCUAGACUUGUAGAAAAUAAGAAAUAACUUCUAAUUCUAAACAAAAUAAGAAAUUUUUUGGCUACUAUUCCGAGUAACUAAAACCAAUUAGAAAACUAGUUACUUUUGCACAAAACAAAAACCUAUCUAAAAAGAAAUUAAGCCAAUUUUCUAACACAACCAACUUAUGAAUUGAACUUUAACAAUAAUGACAUCGGAGAAGAAUGAAAAUAGAUUAAGUAAAUCUAGCAAUAUAAGCCAAACACCUUAAGAAAUCUUAGCUGAGCCUUUCGUUAUCUUCUGAACCUCCUGCAAUUGCGACAUCAACAGAACCGUAAGCCUAAAUUAUUUUUGAAGGGGUUUGGUGCAAGCCUCUCUUGCAGCUGCAAUUUCAGUCAAUCAGUGGGAAUGCUCAUUAUUUUAGAACCAUUGUGGUAUUUUCUUUUUCCUUUUUUUUUUCACUUUUGGGGAUUCCAACCUUUUGACUAGACUAACCUCUUAAAGCUGCGCAGAGUUUUUACCCCAAAAAUACGUAGCAAUGUAGAGUUUUACGCCAAAAAUAUGCAGCCAUGUAGUACACGGGGAUUAAUAAUGGGAUCUGCCGAUAAUUAUCAGAUUACGAAAUUAGUCGGACUACCCGUGAAGGAUUUGUAGUGAUUUUCAUUUGAUGAUACAUAAAUGUUUAUUUUGGCAUCCAAAUGUAACAUAGUUAGUAAUAAGCCAGGAAUUAGAAAUAGCUCGAAGUUUUAUAUCCAAUGAAAUUUACAAGUUUGUCUUCAAAGUGAGAUAAAAAAAAAUUGGGAUGAAAAAAACUAUAAGUUCUCAUCAAUUAUGUGGAUUAAUUCUUACGGAAUGAUAUGAAACCUUAAAGGCUAUAAGAUAAUAAUUGAAAAAAAAACUCAAAAGAAAACAAGAAAGCGAAAAGUUAAAUCAUCUAUAAAUUUAACAUUGAAUUGGGUGGUAAAAUCAAUUUAACAUUCUCAGGUACCAUGUUCCUCGGUGGGUAGUGCACUCAUCUGAUUAAGUGAUAAUCCUGUCCCUAUCCGCCUCCCGUAGGUUCAGUUGGAUCUCUCCCUGUAGUUAGAUUAGGAUAUAAAUACAAAAAUGAUGAUUGACAAAAAAAAUAAAAAAAAAUAAUAAAAAAAAAUAAAAAAUGCUGGGUUUAUCAAUUAUACCCUCAACUCUCUCGUCUCUCUUCAAUGGCGGCCAGUAGUCACAUUCAAGGCGUGUACGACGUCGCAUUGAAGCCUUAGAUGCUGCGGUCACUUCUCAGGGAAUACAUCCCGGACGAAAAACACCCAUCAGAAACCUUUCGGACCUCUCUCACGUUGUCUCUGCCAUUAAAACUCAUUGUCUCCUCUCGGAAUGAGCCCCAUCUUCCACCGACCAAAAGCUCAUUGACGGAUGGAAUAGACUGAUGCCCCAAAUCACCACCUUCAUGCUCAUUUCUUUCGGAAGGAGAAUCACCACGAGGAAGCUUUUCAAAUGCUGGAUGGGUAGAGGUCCCAGAGGAUUCUUUAUCACUGCUGGUAUAUUUUCCAAGGUCAUUGACAUCUGUUUCAUCGCCAUUUGCCAACCACCUUUCGUACAGAUCAUCAUCCCCAGACUAUGGCUGAGAAGGCUCCUUUCCUAGUGUGCUAAAAUGAAAUGAAGUGUUCUUUCUGUGAUCUGCGAAGUGUACGUCUGGAAGGUUGAGACUAGCACUACCAUAAUGGUCAACUGCCGAUUGAAUAUCUAUAAAUGGAAGGGCCCUAGGAUGUAUGAGAACUUCCAAGGUCAAAAGAGCAUGACAGCAAUAUUCAGAAAUUUUUGUUCCAGAUUCUCGACUGCCUGCAGUCACCAGAACACAUAAAUCUAUGAGCAAGAAGCUAAGAAAAGUAGACUUUUUCAAUUCUGUUAACUUAAAAAAAAAAAGGAAAAAAGGUUCAAGUAGCUCUGCAGAAGAACCUCUUACAAGUACCGUUAUUCCUUCCAUAUCUUACAGAACUGAAAUAAUGAAGACCUCUUACCAUCAAAUGAAAUUACCACGACAAAUUGCAGGGAUAUAUCACUCAUUUGACAAGCAUUUUAACAAGUACUCCAAUUAUACCGCUCAUGUUAGUUACACAAAGGACAAAAUCAAGCAACCUCUAUUUCAGGUUUACCAACUUGACCUGGUAUCCCCUUAUCUAUCUUAAUUAUAUAAAAUUGUUCGUGCCUCCAAUUCACACGUAAAACUUGGAGACAGCCCAUGGAGAUGCAUGGGAAGAAGAUGACAUUGAACAGCACUUACCUCUACGAAAAAGUUCGAGACCCUGAGCAAGAUGUGGAGGGCGAACACGACCAGGAGAAAGAAGGGAUGCCAAAAGUGCGCGUAAAGCAGCAAGUUGGAAGUCUGCCCAUACAGGAGUAGCUUCACCAUAAACUACGGUACUAUUGUUGUUAGCCCAUCCCACUUUGCAAGCAUUUGUUGCAACUGUUAUAAGGAGACGAUCAAUAUUUGAUCGCCAACCAUCUGAUCUCAUGGCACCAGCCUGUUGACAAAAAAUAAAAAUUUUCAUUGUAAGCUCUGAAAGCAUAUACAGUUUAUUGGAAUCACAAUUAGAGAAAAAUAAGAGCUGCAUUCAUUUGAAUACUGAAAUACUGACAAGUACAUCCAAUAAAGUAGAUGCCUACCAUCUCAGAAAAUCAGGCUAAUUAUCCCAUUAAGUGACAAUAUGGAAACAUAAUUACACGUGCAAGGGGCAAAUUCAGUGCAUAGGCCUCCUAAAUAAGGCCUGAAAAUGCCUGAAGUCUGGGUCAACUUAGCACCAACUAUAACAUCACAGCCAUAAUGGAUGAUAUUUAACACUAAAGCAAAUUAGAUGUGUAUGACAUAGCAACGGCAAGACUAACUAAGCAUACUACUUUAAAUAGAUACCGGUAAGCAUAUAACUCCAGAUAAGUACAGCUAGAUAGACCGUUACACCAUCUACAUGAAGUUUUAGCACCAGGUGCUUAAAUACUGGCUACAUAAAAAGCAAAAUUAACAGGAUCUACCAUAGUACAAGACCAAAAAUGAAGCACCUCUCUAAGGCUUCCAAAGUGAAUUCUUAUUCCAAAAUAACCACGGAGACAGUAGAAAGAAGCAUACUUUUGAAAGAAGCAGAAUGAAAGACCAACUUGAGAUAGUUUGUGAGCACACCUUUUGCUAAGUCAAUAGCUAAAGUAGUAUUCUCAUAAGCAUAUAAAUGACGGUAACUCAAUGCAUUUAAUUAGCUAAAGAAGGAACAUGCCAUACUUAAAAGAGCUUCUAAUGCCUCUAAUGCAGCAAUCCUGACAGAUAUUGCAGUCAUAUUUUGGUAUGUCUCCACUUCUAGACCACCUUUAGCAGAUUGGUCUCCAACAGAUUCAACUGAAGUUGGAUGCUUCCUUUUUUCUGAAAAGAUUGUUGCGGUGCUUCCUCCAAGGUCUUUGAGCGUUCAGCAGAGUACGAGCCACCACUGUCAUGACCAUGAGGAUCCAGAUCAAGCAAUGCAUUGUUUAUAACUUCUUGGAUCAGAUACAUUGCAAUCCCUGUCAAGAACCACCACCAUUAGGAGAAACAAUUCCAUGUGACAGAUCUCUGAGUGCAUCUGUAUUUGUUUGCGAAAGAAGGAAAGAGAUAGUAAAGGGUUAUUGAAUUGAACGAAUUACAAGAAGAUUUUUUUUAUUAGUAUCACCAGUACUACUCUAAAAAACAUCACUUCAAAUUUCAUAAGCACCAAAACUAUUGCCACUGAGUAAGAUGCUAAAAUCCCUCCAAAAAAAAGUAAGAUGCUAAAAAAAAAAAUCUGUUGUAGCAUGCUACAAAGUCAAACCUAUAUCAAAUAUGGAUUAAGAGAAAGGCAGGUAAGGGAAAAAAAUUGUCACACAAAAUUGGCAUAGGAUGCACAAUGGGUGCACGAUUUUUUUGUUAGUAAAUUUGGCAAAAGAUAUAUAUGAAAACAUAUUCUAAAUCACAAAAAGAAACAAACGAGGUUAUAUAACAAAAGAAAAAAUGUAUAUACAUGCAUAUACUAAUGAAAAAAAAACUGCAUAACUUGUUGGAACCACAAAUUAAGAUGUUCACAGCUUUCAGUUAUGAACUUAAUUUAACUCAUCGGUUUACAGUCCAAUUUUCUCUAUUACUACAAUCAACAUGGGGUUAAACUUCUUAUAAAUUAUAAGGGUUCUAAACUGAUGUUUUGUGAAGUUGAGAUGGGUUGUAUUUUUGCUAAUUUGAGACUCUCUGACUCAGUUCCAUACCAUUUUGACUCAUACUUUCUCAGUUUACAUACCUCUAACAUAAAUGCGUGUCCCAUCUUGUUUUACAAGCAUAUGAUCAAGUGUUACUAAUGAUUGAGGAGAAAUGUAAACAUAGAGUGUGCUCUAGAAUAUUUUACCAUGGUGCUGGAAGCAAGGGCGGAGACUCGAUUGACCCAGGCAUCGACGGAGGACUUCCAGCCGUCAAUGAGCUUCUGGUCGGUGGAAGAUGGGGCCCAUUCCGAGAGGAGACGAUGAGCUUUAACGGCAGAGACGACGCAAGAGAGGUCCGAAGGUUUCUGAAGGGACGUUUUUCGUCUGGGAUCUAUUCCCUGAGAAGUGACCGUAGCAGCUAAGGCUUCAAUGCGACGUUGUACAUGCCCUGAAAGUGACUACUAGCUAGGGAUGGCAACGGGGCGGGGUUGGGGCGGGGGACCCCUCCCCCGUCCCCCGCCCCGUUGCCUAUUAGUUCCCCCCGUCCCCCGCCCCGUCCCCCGCCUCCUGCUCCCCCCGCCCUGCCCCGCUUCCCCCGCGGGUGCCCCCGCGGGGUUAAUAAAAUUUUAUUAUAAUUAAAUUUUAAUAAAUAAUCAAGUACUAAAAUAUCAACACAUCACCAAAUUAUUAUUUAUUGUAAUUUUACAAUUGAAACUCAUAAAAAUAAUCAAACAAAAGUUAUUUUAAUACAAUCCAAUAUGAUGAAAUAAAUAUAACUAAAAUAGUCAAGUUUUCACUUUUAGUACAAAUGCAAUCACUAAUUCAUUAUUGUGUUUGUGCUUUUUUUUUUAGAAAAAAGUGUUAUUCUAUUAAGUGUAAUUAGAAAUUUAGUAUAAAUAUAUUAGUAAAUUUAAUAUAACUAAUUAAUAAAUUCUAUUAGUAGACAUGUAGAAUUAUUCAUAUAAUUGAUUAUAUCAAUUAUAUUACAUAAACUAAUAUACAUUAUAUAGUAUAUCUAACUAAUAAUAUCAUUAUCAUAAGUUUAUAACUAAUUAACUUAUAUGUUAUAUAUAAUUAUAUAUAUUUUUAUAUUUUUUUUUUGUUUUGCGGGGGGCGGGGCGGGGGAUGGGGCGGGGGAAUACUCCCCCGCCCCCCGCCCCGUUUCUAAGCGGGGGGAAAAAAUUCCCCCCCGCCCCCGCCCCACCCCCCGCCCCAACCCGCGCCCCGAGAGCCCCCCGCGGGCACCCGCCCCCAUUGCCAUCCCUACUACUAGCGGCCAUUGAAGAGAGACUAGAGACUUGAGGGUACAACUGAUAAACCCUGACUUUGAAUCAACGAACGAACGUAUAAUUUAAGGGUUGCAAUGGUCAUUAGAUGGUACUUUUUUUUUUUUGGUCACUGAUCACUUUUUUUUAUCUAUAUUCCAAUCUAUCUUAAUUAGGGGUGUACAAAAUCAAAAAAUUCCGAUUUAUCGACCGAAUUCGAAUUGAAUUCGGAAUUUUGAAUUCAGUAAUUCGGAAUAUCCGAUUUCAAAUUGGUCGAAUUCGUUAAUGAGAUUUUUCAAAUCGGUAAUGAGAUUUUUCAAAUAUAUAUAUAUAACAUAUAUAUAAUAUAUCAUUUAUAUUAUAAUAAUAAUUUUUAUAUUCAUGAAUUCUGUGAAAUCAAAAUUCCUAUUUCGAUUUCAAUUUCUUUUUCACACACAUAUAUAUAAUAUUUUAUAUAUAUAUGUAACAUAAUAUUUAUAUAAUAAUAAUAAUAAUUUUUAUAUUAAUGAAUUCGAUGAAAUCUGAAUUUUCCGAAUUCCGAAUUGAAUUUGAAACGAAUUCGAAUUCGGGAUUGGUGAAUUCGAAAUCGAAAUUGGUCAAAAAUUCUGACACCAAAAUUUCAAAAAAUUCCGAUUUCAAAGUUUCAAAUUACCGAAUUCGAUUUCAAUUCACACCCUAAUCUUAAUAUAACUAUGGGAGAGGCCCAAUUGGACCUACAGGGACCGAUAAGAACAGAACCACCAUCGAACCAAAUGGAUGCACUGCGUAUCCGGGAACAUGAUAUCUGAGAAUGUUAAAUUCAUUUUACCAUCCAAUUCAAUGUUAAAUUCAUAAAUGAUUUACCUUUUCACAUUCUUAUUUUCACAGUGGUCGAUGAUCAAAUGAAAAAAGAAGAAAUUAUUGUUGCUUUUUCUCGAUGCUGUCUCUUUCAACAAUGCUGUCCACAGUGCAAAGUAUAAAAAUAGUCUCCAUGGUCCAUAGUCAAAAGAUUCCCAUUAAUUUUCGCAAGACCCACAUCAAUAGACUUCCCUAUAAAGCAUGAUUGAUAUUCUUUGUUUUGUUUGUCCACGAAAGUUUGCUACAAAAAAAAGCCAUUUUGGAUGCUAAAAGCAAUUUUGAAAUGUUUGGUAAAUAUUAUUCCAUAAAAUUAGGGGUGAAAUUUCUGAUGUUAAAAGUAUUUUUAGUAAAAGCUAAAAUUUGAUACUUUUAUAAUAGAUUUUAUGUUUUAAAAAAUAAAAUAUUAAAUUUAAUUAUUUUAUCCUAUAUUAUGAACUAAAUAUAAAGAGAUAAAUACAUUUAAAAAAUUUAAAUUUACACAUUAUCUAGUAUAAUAAGUACUUAUUGAAUCAUGUAUCCAAACAAUAUACUUAAAAGUACUUGAAUACUUAACAAGUGCUUUUAUUAAAAGCUUUAUUAGGUAAAAUACUUCUCAAUAAUUUACAACAAUCCUAAAUGGACCCUCAAAGGAUGCCAUGGCACUUCUACUUCCAUUAUCUUCUUAUAAUCUGAAAAUACUACAUUCUAGUUUCAUUGAGUAAUUGACGUCUACGUUUUGUGAGUUUCUAGUUUCAAAGUACAUUUUAGAUUUUAAAAAGAAAACAUUUCAUUGUUGGACCACUAACUGUAAUUAUCUGCACCCAUAAAACUAGUUAACUUUUUGCCCACCUCAAUUGCCUUUUUCACUGACUAGCAAUAUUGAAAGAAAAUCAAUAUGGGUUUGUGUAAAGCAUAAACUAUUGAAAUUUUUUUAUAAACUAAGAGCCCACCUGGAUUGCUAAAAUGGAAAUGCACACCGGAGGUUGGAAAAACAGAAGAGUAUUUGUUAACAUCCACUAUGGGGAAAAAUAAAGGUUCAAGGCGAGAAGUUGGCUGAAUGUUCUAAUAGGGCAAAAUACUCUUUACCUCCCCAUGAUAUAUAGUAUUUUCUCACGUAAUCCCCUUAUGAUUUUAAAAGUUAUACAUAAUCCCCUCAUGAAUAUUGGACUUGACAUUAGGAGAUGGGAAGGAUGCGGAGAGAGGUGGAAAAUGUAAAAAAAAAAAAAUUAUCCUAUUUGAUAGAAAUGAUAUAUAAUAUCUUCAUAAUUUGGACUAAAGUGUCGAAUUGAUAGAAAUGAUCCUCUGUAACGGAACCCGUGAAAAUAUCAAAAUUAUUCUUAUUUAAAAAUCAAAAUGGUUGGAAUGACCAACUAAAUGGUCAAAAAUACUCCUAUGUAAAGUUGAAAAUUAUUUAUUAAUCACAGGGAGUUAUAUAUAUUUUUUGAAAAUUAUAAGGGAGUUAUAUGGUAAAAUACUAAACUAUAAGGGAGUUAUAUGGUAAAAUAUAAAACCGUACGGAGUUAGAGUGUCAUGUAUAUUAUGUUGAUAUAUUUCGGUCACUUCAGCCAUUUUAGUUUUUAAACAAUGGUAAUUUCGAUAUUUCUAUGGGUUUCGUUACAAAUGAUCAUUUCCGUUAUUUUGACACUUUAAUCUAAAUUAUGAGGGAUUACAUAUAACUUUUGAAACUAUAAGAGAUUAUGUGAAAAAUUGCUAGACCACAGGGGAUAAAGUGUAUUUUACCCAUUGAAUAUUGGACUUGACACUAGGAGAUGGAAAGCGUGCGGAGAGUGGUGGAAAAGGUAAAAUUUUUUUUUUCCUAAAAAAAAUCUCAUAGAAAAAUACCAUAAAAUAGCCUAUUUAUAACCCUCUGAACUUAAGUGAAUGAGAAGCCACUCAAACACGGGAUUACUUAAUAUAACACCAAUUGCUAAAUUUAAAUUAACGAAAGUCCUAAAAACUUGUUUUAUUUUGUCAGCAACUUACAGCUGCCAGUUUCAAUAGGAGUAAUUAUUGUGAGGCUUUGUGCUGAUACAAAGUCUUGGUUAAUGGUUCAUUGACUUGACACUACCCGGACGUGGGUUUUAUUUUGAUCUUCUUUUCUUUCUAGGCAGUUUCCGGGACGCUGGACGGGUCAAGGUCAUCCUCGUUGCGACCGCAUUCGCCCUCUCGUUUCUCGUAAGGUUAUUGCCUUCAAAAUUCCUCUGUUCACUUUUGUCCUUUGAACUGGCUUUCAAAUCGUGUAAAUUGCAUAUUAAUUCUUCAAAUUAUUCUUGGAAACCCCCUGUGGCUUUUCUUUUUUUAAGAAAAAAGAAUGAAAAGCAUUGCUUAAUUAAUUGGUCAGUAAUUCAGUAAGUUUCGCUACAUCUCCAUGCUUUAGUAAACUUCUCAAAUUAAUAUAUAGCAAAGUAAUAUGUUUCCCCUCUAUACAAAACUUGAAGCUAAAGACAGUAGGCUAGGAAAUAAAACCAAUUCUAAUUCUAUUUUAAGCUCGUAUAGCCAUAUUAAAUGUUACUAUUUCAAUAUUACGAAGAUCGGAAAGGAACAUAUUUAUGGGAUUUGGACUGUAGUUAAUUGCUAUGCAGUCAUUAAUUUAGAAUUAUUUGAACGCAUUUCCCUUGCUAAAGCGGGUAGAAACUUCCACUUUCUUUCUUGCACCAAAUAUGAUAAUAAUUGCUAUAGGUCCCAUACUCUUUUGGAUUAUUCACAUCAAAGGACAAUUUCUAGUCGCUGGUCCUUCUCAUCAUUUCAUUUUUUAUGACUUGGUAACACCUUCUUAUUUCCAAACCUUUUCUCCAACUUCACUCGUCACCGUUUCUCAUUUCACCAAUUCACCCUCUGGACUGAGAGGAGAGAUACAGAGCUCAACAAUUCACCAAAGAGGCAGAAGAUAUAGAGAGCCCGAAACCAUUUGAAGCAAACCUGUUUUGUCUGCUACCGUAAGUUUCAUUUCGCUUCGACUUCACUGCAUUUUUAAUUUUCAAUUUUUGCAACUGCUUGGCAUUUUGUUAAAUUCGUGUCAUAUGGUCUUAGCAAAAUUAAUUAUUGUUCUUUAUUAUUACUAAUAUUCUUUUAUAAACUCUACAAUUAGUUUCCAGUUUGCUUUCAAGUUUGCAAGUGAAGGUUUGAGGUUGAGAAUGAGGAGAUAUAAACAAUUUUAGUUGGAAGAUUGGCAAUUAAAAUAUUUUGCCAACUUAUUUUAGUUGAUUGUCUAUUAAUUUUUCAAUUUUUAGAAAAAAAGGAAAUUUUCGUUUCGUUUUCCUUUUCAAAAUUCAUCUUCUUAUUAGUUAAUUUUCAUGAAAAGGAAAAAGAAAAGCAAAGGAUUUCAUUUUGAAAAUCAACAAAUCAAACAGAAAAAAAAAAGAAAAGAAAUAUUGUAGAGAUCAUUCCUUGCUAGUUUCGUUCAUAACCAAACAAGAUGAGGGAUUUAACAUUUCCAAAGCAAUUUACUUUUCUUUUCUUUGAUUUCCUUUUCCUUGCUAAAUUCGGAGAACAAAUUGGGCCUUAUUGCUAGGAAUCUUCCCCCCCCCCCCCCCGGUCUUAAGGUCAUGCUAUGGUUAUGUUAACGCGCUCAUUAGUAUAAAUCCUGAAUCAACUGGAGUUGAAAUUGAUGAAAACGUGUUUGAUUUUGAAACUCUUGAUCCCAUGCCCAUAAGAUUUUCAGAAAGAGGAUUAGUUUGAGUUUAUAUGAAGAUUGAUUUGAUAUCUAAAAAUAUAAAGGCCUUCCAUUUCUAGAUCACUGGUCAAAUUAUAAACUUCAAAACAUGUGAUGCCAUAUUCCAAAAUCAACUUUUUUUUAAAAUAUAUAUAAUCAAUCUAAGAUAGUCAUGAGAUGGUGUCCUCUAUUUUCAAUGGUACCUUAAAACUUCAAUAUUUUGGAUGCACCGUGGAAGAAUUCUUUCGACAAUUUAUCUUACAAGGCUACAAUUCUCUCAAGGCAAACCAAAGUUUGGUGUUUUGAAUACCACCAUGAAGCAAAAUAAAUAAAAGUUCAGAAAUUACUUUUUUUCUUAUGCACUUUUUCUGCUAUACUAGUAGAAUUGGGUUGAGUAUGUUAGACAAAUACAUGAUGGUUGUGAUCUUCUUGUUUUAGUUGCUGUAUUAUUUUUUUUUUGGGUAUCAAUUUCUAUGUUUUAUCAUACAGUUAAAUGGGAUAAUUGUUGAGGUAUAGGAUACGAAUUUAGCUGAAGCCCUGAGAUUGAACCAUAGAACCUAUUUCCUAUUUCUGCUUUAAUAAAAAUUACAAUAGAACUAAACAAAAAUAAUAGUAAUGGUAACCGAUUAUUUCUGAAGAAAGAAAGCUAAAGUUUCCUAUAGUUUUUUGCAAUCCUAUUAUACUUCAAAUGACUGAAGCAAGGAGAGCGGAUCAUCCCCAAGUCUAAAAAUUUAUGUUAUUUGUCCCCGAAAUUCUAAAAGAUUUUCAUGGGAAUAGGGGAUGACUUUAAAAAUCUUUCUAAUGUCAAGUCGAAUGGACGGUAACUGAUCAAGUGGACGUGAAAUGGAGGGUUAAAAAAAUCUUUAAAAACAAAAAGUAAAA